GACGUCACCACCAAGGGGAACCCGCAGCGCGGUUUGUGCUGUCAGAAAGUUUAGCUUUUUGGACACUUAUUGUAUAACGCGACUGUGUGUGUGUGUGUGUGUGUGUGUGUGUGUGUGUGUGUGUGUGUGUGUGUGUGUGUGUGUGUGUGUGUGUGUGUGUGUGUGUGU
This is a long non-coding RNA of Gadus morhua (Atlantic cod), 168 nucleotides long. RefSeq lists it as uncharacterized. The transcript has 2 exons. Lineage: Eukaryota; Metazoa; Chordata; Actinopteri; Gadiformes; Gadidae. The record is from RefSeq and is a predicted model, not a curated record.